Molecule: non-coding RNA, 21 nt
Filed under: Rattus norvegicus (Norway rat)
Lineage: Eukaryota; Metazoa; Chordata; Mammalia; Rodentia; Muridae
Source: RNAcentral
CAUUUUUUUAUCAUGUGUGCA